Molecule: ribosomal RNA, 129 nt
Filed under: Woeseiaceae bacterium
Lineage: Bacteria; Pseudomonadati; Pseudomonadota; Gammaproteobacteria; Woeseiales; Woeseiaceae
Description: partial 23S ribosomal RNA
Rfam family: Bacterial large subunit ribosomal RNA (bases 1-116)
Source: RNAcentral
CUGGACCCUUGAGGUCCCUGAAGUGCCCUCGAAGACUACGAGGUUGAUAGGCUGGGUGUGGAAGUUCAGUAAUGGAUGAAGCUAACCAGUACUAAUUGCACGUGAGGCUUGAUCAUAUAACGCCAAAGC